CCUCUCUGAGAAGGUAACAUUUUUUUCUUUUUCAUAUGUAAUUGCAUCUAACUCCUUAAAAUUUUAUUGUAGUAAAAUAUACACAACAUAACAUAAUAAUAUCACUUUAACCAUUUGCAAGUGUACAGCUAAAUGAUAUUAAGUAUGUUCAUAUUGUUGUUCAAUCAUCACCAUCAUCCACCUCCAGAACUUUUUUGUCUUUCCCAAACUGAAGUUCUAUACCCAUUAAACCCCAGUUCCUCAGACCACCCCCCAGCCCCUGUAAACACCAUUCUGUUGUCUGUCUAUGUGCAUUUAGAUCUCCCAUAUAGACUUCUUGAGAUAUUCCAUAACCAUGGAAUCACUUUUUCAUGACUGCCUUAUUUCACUUAGCAUAAUGCCUGCAAAGUCCAUCCAUGGUACUGAAAUGGUGCCCCCUUUCUCCAGGAAAAGUCUUAACUGGGCUUCUCCAGAAAUCUUCACCAUAGCUGAUUUUAGUACUGUCAGCAAAAGAGUCUCUACAAUGUAGAUAAACUUCCUAUUUUUGUGUUGCCCUGUUUUACUUGGCCGCUAGCCUGGAAGAAAUCAGCACUAAGGGCUGGGGUUGUUGCUCAGCAGUAGGGUGCUUGCCUUGCACAUGCGAGACACUGGGUUUGAUCCUCAGCAUCACAUAAAAAUAAAUGAAUAAAGUAAAGGUAUUGUGUCCAAC
This 688-nucleotide long non-coding RNA is filed under the name Marmota monax (woodchuck). Lineage: Eukaryota; Metazoa; Chordata; Mammalia; Rodentia; Sciuridae. The record is from RNAcentral.